Molecule: long non-coding RNA, 1696 nt
Organism: Herpailurus yagouaroundi (jaguarundi)
Lineage: Eukaryota; Metazoa; Chordata; Mammalia; Carnivora; Felidae
Exons: 2
Source: RefSeq, a predicted model, not a curated record
CUCAGCACCCGCCUGUCUCGGCUCUCUCUGCCUGCAUCCCGGCCGGCCGUCUUUGGCCACGUGCUGCCCUCCCCUUGGCCUGUUCAGGGAUCAGAUGCCCCGGGUGGCUUCGGGUGUCGCCGGUGGCUGCUCCCACAGGAAGGUGAAAUCGGAUCACUGCCUCUGCCCAUCUUGGCAGGAGCCACCGAGCAGAGCAUUAACCCUUCCGGGCCCCAGACUUCAGGGGCAGCAAUGACUGUCUAAGGAGCACUUCUGUGGCUGGCACCAGGCCGAGCCCUUGACAUGCAUGAGCUCACUUAAUCCUCAUGCCUGGCCUGCACCAUUGGGAAUGUCGGCCGUGUUGCAAAGCAGGAGGCGGGCUCAGGGAGGCUGAGUGACUCAUCCAGGGUCACACAGCUGGUAAGCAACGGGGCCAGGUUUGCACCUGGGUCUGCCUGACUCCCCGCUGUGUCCUCUGUCCCUCUGUUUUCUCUCCCUGCCUUUUUCCGUCGGCAUGAAGCCAGGUAGGCGGCUUCCUUAGCACGCGUUGUUCCUGGUUCAGGGGUCUUCUCCUCCUCCACCUUGCGUCUAGAGAGGAGUUCUCAUCUCAUUUGUCCUUUGAGAUGUCAGUCAUCCAAGCACAUCAAUUCGGUCUUCCCAUUGAACUUUCAGUCCUGGUUCUGCUGCCCAGUGGGCCUCAAGAUCCUGAGGCCACAGAACAGAUGGGGAGACUGAGCCCCAGAGAUGGGGAGGGGCGGGCCCCUGGCGGCCCGGUGAGUCAGCAGCAGAUUUGAAGCUGGGCCCUGGGUCUCCUGACGCCCAGGGCAGGGCUUCCUGCCCACUCUUUCCUGCCCUGUGACCUUGGGUUAUCGAUCUGUAAAAAGCCAGGUUGUAUUUGGGCUGCGUAGGCAGGUCCGGCCCGCAGGGGUGGCGCCUGGAAAUCCGGGAGCGUGGGCUACACAGUGGGGUCCUAGAGCCUGUAUCUUGCCUCCACCUUCCAUGGGCGAGACUGGGGGACACUGGGCCUGGGUGGUUUCCUCCCAUCUCUCCAGCCGGAUCCGGGCCUGAGGGUGGAAGCUGAUGCCGCAUCUGCUUGUGUCUUCCGGUCUCUAGGGGGUUUCUCUUCACCUGGAUCUUAGUGUCAUUUGUCUGUCACCUGGCCUCCACCCAAGGAGCUCCUGAAGUGGUUGUACCAAGAACUGCUGAGAGGAGGCACGAAGGCCACAACUUCCUGCCCUUCCCGUGAGAUCCUGCUCUUCCCUGCCAUCCCUGAGGAGCCGGCCAGGGGGCCAGAGCAGCCGUGGGCAGGCUGCACAGCUGCCCGUGGAAACUGAAACCUCUCCCACAUCUGUUUGUCAAACAGCCACGACGCCUCCUAAAAUAGCGGCCCUUCCCCUCCUCCACGCCCGCCUGUGUGCCGGGACAGGCAGCCGGGCACUCUCAGAGCCCCUGUGGCCUGACCUGGCCUCCGGCAGGGAUUGGGUCCCCGGGAGGGGAGGGCCGUGCCCGGAAGAGGCUUCUGCUGCCCGGCAACAUUUUGUGCAAAUGUCAUAUUUUCCGAGCUUGCUGUUUCCCCCACAAAGUAGGUGAACAGCUGUCCAGAGUCCUGAGUCAGGCGAUGGGGGGCGGGGGGUGUUGGGGAGAGGCCGGAGCUAUGUGGAGCCAGGUUUAUGUAAUAAAGGGAUCUUGCUGCGGCCAGCUGGCUGGGUCCUUCCAG